AUGGCGAACGCGGGGCUGAAGCCGGUGGCCGGCUUCCUCCUGAUGCUCAACUUCUGCAUGUACCUCAUCGUCGCCGCGGUCGGGGGCUGGGCCAUCAACUUCGCCAUCAACAACGGCUUCUUCAUAGGUUCCGGGCUGGAGCUGCCGUCACACUUCUCUCCGAUCUACUUCCCGAUAGGGAACGCGGCGACUGGGUUCUUCGUCAUCUUCGCCGUGAUUGCCAGCGUGGUCGGCAUGGGGGCGGCGCUUGCCGGAUUCCACCAUGUCCGGGCGUGGAGCCACGAGAGCCUGCCGGCGGCAGCCUCCUCUGCGUUCAUCGCCUGGAUGCUCACGCUGCUCGCCAUGGGAUUGGCAGUCAAGGAGAUUGACCUGAACGGCAGGAAUGCUAGACUGAUAACCAUGGAGGCUUUCACCAUCAUACUCUCGGGGACGCAGCUCUUCUACAUACUCGCCAUACACGGAGGGAGGUGA
This 471-nucleotide ribosomal RNA is filed under the name Triticum aestivum (bread wheat). Its description in RNAcentral is "partial small subunit ribosomal RNA". Lineage: Eukaryota; Viridiplantae; Streptophyta; Magnoliopsida; Poales; Poaceae. The record is from RNAcentral.